RNAcentral lists this long non-coding RNA (755 nucleotides) under Marmota monax (woodchuck). The record is from RNAcentral. Lineage: Eukaryota; Metazoa; Chordata; Mammalia; Rodentia; Sciuridae.
CUGUGCACAAGGGCCAAAAUCCUGACUUCCCUCCCAUGACACUUAUAAAGUUAGCUGAGGGUCUUGGUGAGGAAAGUAUAGCAUAGUGCUAACUACACAAAGUUGUUAGAGUUGGAGUCAGCUGCCCCAGAAAGCUCUAAGAAUUGACAUUUGUUGCCCAAGGAUGCACUGAACGGUGUUAACAAACUGUGAAUUCAUACUAAACUUGAGGUCAGCCACACCCAGGGUCUUUUACGAAAGAACUUCACAGCUGGUGUUUACCGUACCUCCCAGUCCCUUUUCUCACCAUCUUCCAGAGGCAUCCACAAUGUGAAAAUGCAGUUUUGUUUUUGCCCUGUGGCCACAGUGAUAGUGAGCACCCAGGCUUGUACCCUUCCUAUGUUGGCUGUACCCCAGAUGGUACCCCACCUUUCCUGAGGAGAGAACUGAGCAUCUUCUACUUCAGAACCAUAUUCGUUUCCUUUGACUGCUCUCACAAAUUACCAUAAACUUAGUGGCUUGGACACACAUUGGUUCUUGUACAGUUCUGCAGGUUAGAAGUCCGAAGUUAAGUUUAUAGGGCCAAAUCAAGGUAUGGGCAGGCCUGGUUCUUCUAGAGGCUGCAGAGGAGAAACUGUUUCCCUGCUUUUCCUUUGGUCAGGGACCCCUUUCUCCAUUUUUGAUUUAAAGCACAUCAGUUCCAUCUCUGCUUCCAUCAUCACAUGGCCUUCUCUUUUCCCAUCAAAUUUCCCUCUGCAUCCGUCUUAUAGUAUCAC